RNAcentral lists this long non-coding RNA (1313 nucleotides) under Linum usitatissimum (flax). RNAcentral's name for it is "long non-coding RNA (LUSI_LNC002448)". Lineage: Eukaryota; Viridiplantae; Streptophyta; Magnoliopsida; Malpighiales; Linaceae. The record is from RNAcentral.
CCGCCAGUCUAUAAGUCUCCUCCACCACCGGUGUACAAGUACAAAUCUCCUCCCCCGCCGGUUUACAAGUACAAGUCACCACCACCGCCGCCAGUCUAUAAGUCUCCUCCACCACCGGUGUACAAGUACAAAUCUCCUCCCCCGCCGGUUUACAAGUACAAGUCACCACCGCCACCGGUGUACAAGUCGCCUCCUCCACCAACAAAGCCAUACAAGUACAAGUCUCCACCACCACCAGUCUAUAAGUCACCACCGCCACCGGUUUACAAGUAAAAACCCCCCCCGCCACCGGUGUACAAGUAUAAGUCACCGCCGCCUCCAGUCUACAAGUCUCCUCCGCCACCAGUUUACAAGUACAAAUCACCGCCGCCGCCAGUCUAUAAGUCACCACCGCCUCCAAUGAAGCCAUACAAGUACAAGUCACCACCACCGCCGCCGGUUUACAAGUCUCCUCCUCCGCCGGUGUACAAGUACAAAUCACCGCCGCCGCCAGUCUAUAAGUCACCACCGCCUCCAAUGAAGCCAUACAAGUACAAGUCACCACCACCGCCGCCAGUCUAUAAGUCUCCUCCACCACCGGUGUACAAGUACAAAUCACCACCGCCACCGGUUUACAAGUACAAGUCACCGCCGCCGCCGGUGCACAAACCACCUCCACAUUACAUCUCUGCGUCACCCCCUCCACCAUACCACGUCUAGAUGAGUCAACCCCCCAAGGUAAUACUACUAAUCAACAACUCAUAUCCAAUCACUGAAUAAGGGGCCGUUUGACAUAGAGAAAAUAUAUUUGUAUUUGUGGGAAAAUUAUUUAUUUUGAAAUUAACAUAUUUGCAUUAGUGACAAAUAUCACAAAUAUUUUUAGUUAUCAUUGGUUUAUCUUAUUCUGAAAAACAAUAACGUAAUUCUAAUUUCCUCAAAUAAAAAAUUUAGUUCUAUUAUUUAUGAAAUAUACAUAUCAAACAUUAUAGCCUAGCAAGUUUUUAUUAAUUAAUAAUACUGACCCCUCUCUCAACAACUCGAGCUAUUGGAGAUACGAUGAUCGAUUUUGGACAUGGUAUCAUAGAUUUAAAAAACCAAGAGGUCUCCUUUUCAAAUCCCGACAGUCUCCAUUCCGUACAUAUGACUUAUCGUGUGAACCUCAUUUCUUCUUAAAACUUCUGUCUGAAGGGCAUAUUAAUGAAUACUAUAUACAAAAUUGAUCUGAACCUUCCCCCAACAACUUACAAUGCAACGAUUCAUGACAAUUUUCUCGAUUUAGUACUCGAUACUCGGUACGAAACGGUGCCUUAAUUACUAACUUGUGUCUUGGUCCU